AGAGUUUGAUCAUGGCUCAGGACGAACGCUGGCGGCGUGCUUAACACAUGCAAGUCGAACGGUGACCCAGGGCUUGCCCUGGUGAUCAGUGGCAACGGGUGAGUAACACGUGGGCAACCUGCCCCUGACUUCGGGAUAACUCCUCGAAAGAGGAGCUAAUACCGGAUACGACCACUUCGGACAUCCGAUGGUGGUGGAAAGUUUUUCGGUCAGGGAUGGGCCCGCGGCCUAUCAGCUAGUUGGUGGGGUAAUGGCCUACCAAGGCGACGACGGGUAGCCGGCCUGAGAGGGCGACCGGCCACACUGGGACUGAGACACGGCCCAGACUCCUACGGGAGGCAGCAGUGGGGAAUAUUGCGCAAUGGGCGAAAGCCUGACGCAGCGACGCCGCGUGAGGGAUGAAGGCCUUCGGGUUGUAAACCUCUUUCAGCAGGGACGAAGCGAAAGUGACGGUACCUGCAGAAGAAGCACCGGCUAACUACGUG
Molecule: ribosomal RNA, 485 nt
Filed under: uncultured bacterium
Lineage: Bacteria
Description: bacterial SSU rRNA
Rfam family: Bacterial small subunit ribosomal RNA
Source: RNAcentral